GAGCCCCUCCAUUCAAAAUCAAACAAGGCCUUGGAAUGAGAUUGAAAUUAGUAAGAUAUCAGAUAAUUCUAAUAUUCACAACAUUUCCUGCUUAAAGGUGUCUGCUGAUGAAUUUGCAGCUAAGAAUAUGAUUGAGGAAUCCAUUAGCAUCAAAAGAAAGUUAAAGUCUUCUUCUGUUUUUGGCUUCCAAGAAAACUUCAUUAUUGUGCAAGAUUCUAAUUCAAACUGCAAUUCUUCACCAAAUGUUGCUGAAAAUUGGGAUUUCAGCUUACAGUCGAGCUUAUGAGCCAUUUUCGAUCAGCAAAAGUUCAUUAAACGUUCUUCAAACAUAUAGGAACCAUGGUACGCCUAUACUUAAGGUCAAGAUCAAUGCGUGGUUUUUCCUAUUCAAGUAAUGUAAGCUUUACUAGUCUGAACCUUCCAUGAAUGUACUGAGGCUAAUAUUAUAGUUUUCUCCGGAUUUUCUAUGUGUCUCUAUCGAUUUCUAUAUGCUGAUGCAAAGAUUUUAUUACUUA
Olea europaea var. sylvestris is the source of this 515-nucleotide long non-coding RNA. RefSeq lists it as uncharacterized. Lineage: Eukaryota; Viridiplantae; Streptophyta; Magnoliopsida; Lamiales; Oleaceae. The transcript is spliced from 2 exons. The record is from RefSeq and is a predicted model, not a curated record.